UAUAAAGGGCAGAGUCAAAGUCAUUGAAAGCUUAAAAAAGAACCAGUGCUUAUUCUGACAUAUAAAGGUGAAAAUAACUAGCAAAGAGCACAUAUUCUGCUUUGUUAAAAGAUUUCUUACAAAAAUAUUCUUCUCAGAGCUACUCUGAAAUAUUUUAAAAAUAAAGAUGGAUGUUAAUAAUAUAAAAUGCUAACUUGCAAGUUUUUUAUUCUUACUGUUUUUAUUGACAAAACUUUCCAAAUUAUCACAGUGAGAUUCUACCAAACUGGGAACUGCUUGUCAACUGAAGAAUGUGAAGAGCUGGGAAUGUGGCUUAGUGGUAGAAUGCUUGCCUAGCAUGCAUGAUGCCCUGGGUUCGAUUCCUCAGUAUUACAAAAAAAAG
Molecule: long non-coding RNA, 382 nt
Organism: Perognathus longimembris pacificus (Pacific pocket mouse)
Lineage: Eukaryota; Metazoa; Chordata; Mammalia; Rodentia; Heteromyidae
Exons: 3
Source: RefSeq, a predicted model, not a curated record